This 224-nucleotide long non-coding RNA is filed under the name Capsicum annuum. RNAcentral describes it as "long non-coding RNA (CANN_LNC011405)". Lineage: Eukaryota; Viridiplantae; Streptophyta; Magnoliopsida; Solanales; Solanaceae. The record is from RNAcentral.
GGAAAUGACGAAGAAAGCGCACUGACUAUCCAGGAUAAUGUGAUAGCAGAAUAGAAUGAGAUGAUUGCGGAACUCGCAAGAAAGUUAGAAAUGCUUCAGGAGGAAAUAAAUCGCACUCGAGAUUUGUCUAACUUGGCUAUCACCGUCAAUGCCCCUGCUCUGGGGGGACACGGGAAUCCACUCUAAAUUCCUCCCCUCAGCACCCCUAUUCUUGGGGAUCAGCC